AUUUUUAUUUUCAGGGAACCAAGUUUCAUCUGAAAUCCAACUUAAGUUGGUACUCGGCUCUGUAAAGUUUGCAGGAGCACAACAUUGUAUACUUAGAAAUCCUGCUCGAAAUCACAUUCCUAGAGAUAUGCUACAAUAGCUGGCUACGAGUUGCUGUUGUAAUGAUUUGUGUAGGCCGUGUGUUUGAUAUAUCGGUGCUUCGUAAGGCAGGUAAGUUUAUUUCACCGAUCUGCUUGUCACUCUUUUCUUUUUUGAGUCAAUGCGAUCCGUUUAUUCUGUGUCUUAAUUUAUAGGCCUGCAGUUUUGCAGCACUCAUAUUUUAUUUUAUUUGUGGAGCAGUCAAACAGAGCUUUAUAUGAUUGUUUGAGAUGGUAUAAGCAGGACCAGACAGAUGACCAUCAACCUUGUGUUCGAGCAGUUCACCACUUCCAUCAUCCUAUUCUCAUGGAACAAAAUUGCCCCAUCAGGUCAGUCAGCUCAAAAUCUGGCUAUGGCUAUCUCAUUUAAC
Molecule: long non-coding RNA, 508 nt
Organism: Capsicum annuum
Lineage: Eukaryota; Viridiplantae; Streptophyta; Magnoliopsida; Solanales; Solanaceae
Exons: 3
Source: RefSeq, a predicted model, not a curated record